Molecule: ribosomal RNA, 187 nt
Filed under: uncultured rumen bacterium
Lineage: Bacteria
Description: partial 16S ribosomal RNA
Rfam family: Bacterial small subunit ribosomal RNA
Source: RNAcentral
UACGGGAGGCAGCAGUGAGGAAUAUUGGUCAAUGGGCGAGAGCCUGAACCAGCCAAGUAGCGUGCGGGACGACGGCCCUAUGGGUUGUAAACUGCUUUUAUGCGGGGAUAAAGUGACGUACGUGUACGUUUUUGUAGGUACCGCAUGAAUAAGGACCGGCUAAUUCCGUGCCAGCAGCCGCGGUAAU